This 914-nucleotide ribosomal RNA is filed under the name uncultured bacterium. RNAcentral's name for it is "bacterial SSU rRNA". It matches the Rfam family "Bacterial small subunit ribosomal RNA", at positions 8 to 916 of the family's 1533-position model. The record is from RNAcentral.
AGAGUUUGAUCCUGGCUCAGGAUGAACGCUAGCGAUAGGCCUAACACAUGCAAGUCGAGGGGCAGCACAUGAGUAGCAAUACGAUGGUGGCGACCGGCGCACGGGUGAGUAACACGUAUGCAACCUACCUCUAACAGGGGGAUAGCCCGUUGAAAGACGGACUAAUACCCCAUAAUACAGGGGCUCCGCAUGGAGAUAUUUGUUAAAGAUUUUAUCGGUUAGAGAUGGGCAUGCGUUCCAUUAGCUAGUUGGUGAGGUAACGGCUCACCAAGGCGACGAUGGAUAGGGGUUCUGAGAGGAAGGUCCCCCACACUGGAACUGAGACACGGUCCAGACUCCUACGGGAGGCAGCAGUGAGGAAUAUUGGUCAAUGGGCGCGAGCCUGAACCAGCCACGUCGCGUGAAGGAUGACGGCCUUAUGGGUUGUAAACUUCUUUUACAGGGGAAUAAAGUGAGUCACGUGUGAUUUUUUGCAUGUACCCUGUGAAUAAGCAUCGGCUAACUCCGUGCCAGCAGCCGCGGUAAUACGGAGGAUGCGAGCGUUAUCCGGAUUUAUUGGGUUUAAAGGGUGCGUAGGCGGGAUAUUAAGUCAGCGGUGAAAGUUUUCGGCUCAACCUUAAAAUUGCCGUUGAAACUGUUAUUCUUGAGUGCAGUAGAGGUAGGCGGAAUUCGUUGUGUAGCGGUGAAAUGCGUAGAUAUAACGAGGAACUCCGAUUGCGUAGGCAGCUUACUAUAUUGCUACUGACGCUGAGGCACGAAAGUGUGGGUAUCAAACAGGAUUAGAUACCCUGGUAGUCCACACAGUAAACGAUGAAUACUAGCUGUUUGCGAUAUAUUGUAAGCGGCCGAGCGAAAGCAUUAAGUAUUCCACCUGGGGAGUACGUCGGCAACGAUGAAACUCAAGGAAUUGACGG